This 68-nucleotide transfer RNA is filed under the name Idioscopus ventrispinus. Its description in RNAcentral is "tRNA-Cys". The record is from RNAcentral. Lineage: Eukaryota; Metazoa; Arthropoda; Insecta; Hemiptera; Cicadellidae.
AAAUCUUAUAGUUUAAUUAAAACUUUAAAUUGCAAAUUUAAAAAAGAAAUAAGUAAUUCUAAGAUUUA